UUACACGGAUCCGCGGAAUAUAGGCUGCGGCCACAAGUUCUGCAGAGACUGUAUUUUAUAGUGUUGGGGCACAGGACAAGGAAGUGUGUGCUGUGCACAGUGCAGGCAGCAGAUUCUCCAGAGGCGUGUUUGUCCCAACAGAACUCUGUCUAACAUGGUGGAGAGUGUUCGGAAACUGAGCCUGGAUCCGGGACUGGAAGAUGUGGGAAUCUAGUAGGAAGAGCAUGAGGAGAAGCUGGAACUGUUUUGUGAAAUGGAUCAAAGAGCGAUCUGUGAGAAGCUGCAGGAAGCACUGGAAACUCUUCAUAAACAGUUGCAUGAAAUGACACAGUGUCAGAGAGAAGAAGGAGCUACUCAACUGGAAGUGGGGAUGAGGGGUUGUUAUAUCAUUUCUUAGCCCAUCCCAUUGAUAUUGCUGUCUCCAGCCAGGAACACCCUACCAACACAAGCCGAGCGUCUGAGGAAGAACAUCGAUGCUGAAUUUGCUCAACGUGACUCGCUGCUGACUGAGGAGCAUCAAGACCUUAUCACCAAACUCGGAGAGCAGGAGGACACAAUCUUAGGACAAAUAGAAAACAAUAAGAGUGACAUUUCCAAGCAAAUUACUUCUAUUAACCAGAGAAUAGCGGAAAUCCAGACAAGACUGACUCUACAGAACA
Long non-coding RNA from Callorhinchus milii (elephant shark), 659 nucleotides. RefSeq lists it as uncharacterized. NCBI's taxonomy places the organism in Eukaryota, Metazoa, Chordata, Chondrichthyes, Chimaeriformes, Callorhinchidae. The record is from RefSeq and is a predicted model, not a curated record. The transcript is spliced from 3 exons.